GUGAGGAAUAUUGGACAAUGGGCGCAAGCCUGAUCCAGCCAUGCCGCGUGCAGGAAGACGCAUCUAUGGUGUGUAAACUGCUUUUGUACGGGAAGAAACACUCCCUCGUGAGGGAGCUUGACGGUACCGUCAGAAUAAGGAUCGGCUAACUCCGUGCCAGCAGCCGCGGUAAUACGGAGGAUCCAAGCGUUAUCCGGCAUCAUUGGGUUUAAAGGGUCCGUAGGCGGUUUAAUAAGUCAGUGGUGAAAGCCCAUCGCUCAACGAUGGAACGGCCAUUGAUACUGUUAGACUUGAAUUACAAGGAAGUAACUAGAAGAUGUAGUGUAGCGGUGAAAUGCUUAGAUAUUACAUGGAAUACCAAUUGCGAAGGCAGGUUACUACUUGUGGAUUGACGCUGAUGGACGAAAGCGUGGGGAGCGAACAGGAUUAGAAACCCGAGUAGUCC
Molecule: ribosomal RNA, 445 nt
Filed under: uncultured bacterium
Lineage: Bacteria
Description: partial 16S ribosomal RNA
Rfam family: Bacterial small subunit ribosomal RNA
Source: RNAcentral